This 4755-nucleotide long non-coding RNA is filed under the name Homo sapiens (human). RNAcentral's name for it is "long non-coding RNA NONHSAT178031.1". The record is from RNAcentral. Lineage: Eukaryota; Metazoa; Chordata; Mammalia; Primates; Hominidae.
UGGAGAGCGGCUCCUUUCUUCUCUCAGGAAAGGUUCCCCACGCCUGACAGCCCCACCAUUCUGGUUAAGCUUAAUUAGUCAAGAGAGAAAAAGAACUGACUUCGGAGUGUUGUGUUACGUUUGGGGCUCCCCCCUUUUUUUCCCCUUUCCACUCAAAAUUUGACAUUCUUUGGAGAAGAUGAAGUUCCAAGUGGGAUCUGUGUUGGCACUUCCCACCCUCUCGUCAUCCUCACGUGGGACCCGCUUCUCACGGCCCAUCUUUUGUCUACCAGGGGCCUCGCAGGACUCUGCACAGCCCGCACAAAGGACGUAGGAUUCUGCACUGGCAGAACUGGAUGUAAUGUUGCCCUGAGAAACAUUCAUUUAUUUCAGAGUGAAACCCGUUAAAAUGGAAGUGUGUAGGAUUUGGGUUGGCUGGAUGCAAGCUUCCCUCUGCAGCGGGAUGAGGCUGCCACUACCAGGAGCACGCUGGCCUGCCGGCGGGAGGAACAGAUGCCAGAGGAGACCUGACUGUGUCCUCAAGGCCAUGCCCCAUCAGCCAUCCCAGCAGAGCCCACAGCCACCCACAGAGGAAUGAGGAUCCCCAUCCAGGAUCACCGGAACUGCACAACUGACUCACAAACGUGUGAAGAGUAAUGGGUAACGUGUUGAACUGUGAGCCUUUGAGCCUGGGGAGGUUUGUGAUGCAGCAGUAGCUCCCAGACCCUUGAGGCUCUUCGGCACGAAGGUGCUGAGCCAUGCACCUAUGCAAAGCCAAACUCUGCACUAGGCCUACUGGGGUGUGCAGAGAGAGAGGGCUGAACAAACUGCGGUUCCACCCAGAAGACCCAGAAGAACAUUUACGGAGGAGUCAGUGCAAGAGGCGAGAGAGCAUGCGUGAAGAGGCUCGUUCUUGUGGUGUAGAAAAGGAGGCCAGAGUCUCCCAGACCACGAUUCUUUUCCUUUAGGUGUUUCUUGGGCAUUUUCAAUCUUAAAUCUCUUCCCAUGUUAUUGAGAUUUCUGAUUGAAUGUCCCCAUUUUCCCUCAGACAGCAGGCCGUGUGUGAGUCACCACCUCCAUCUUUCUAUGUCCUGGGUGUGGGCCCAGUGAAGGACAGUUAUGGAAAUUUAGAGAGAAGAGGUCGCAGGUGUGGUGGGGGUGGUGAAGCUUCAGAAGAGAAAAGAAGCAUGGUGGAGAGGGUGGACUCUGGAGGCUACUGCAGAGCUCUCCCCCAGGCUAUGAGGGGGCAUGAUGGUCCCAAUAGCCUGAGUCUGUGUUCAUUUCAACUGGCUACCUUGUGACGAGGAAGAUGGCCCAGGUUCCCAGUGGGAAAUCUAUGGUUAUCAUUAAGAACGCAGGGCCUGAGAUGAAACCUGGCAGGUGAAAGGCACCUGGUUUUAUGCAACCUGGUUUUGCAGAAGCCUGUGGGAGGGGGCCCAGGGGGGAAGGGAGCAGAGGGCAGUGUUGGCUCUGGUUCCCCCACCAGGCAGGUGGGCUAGCACCUGGGUAAGGGGCUUUGCAUCUGGAGCUGGUCAUGCCUCAGUCCAGAUCCUGCCUUUAUCAGUUGAUGGGCUGUUACCUGCCAGUGGUUAUGGUGAGGACUAAAUUACGGAAAGUCAUCAAGGAUCUUCAUUCAUUGCCCACCACAGAGCAGGCACUCAAUGGAGAACACUCACCACCAUCUAUGUUGUUAAUGUUGCAUCUGCAGCCCUUGGUUUCCUGGAAAGACUCUACAGUACAGGGGCAGGUUAGGGGCCACAACCAGGAAACAAGACACAUCUGAGAGAAUGCAUGGGAGCUUAUGGAAGGAUGUACAAGGCUGGGUGUGGGAAUCCCGGCACUUCGGGAGGCUAAGGUGGAAGGAUCACUUGCAUCCAGGAUUCAAGCCUAGCCUGGCCACGUAGUGAGACCCCAGCUCUACAAAAAAUCAAAAAUCAACUGGGCAUGGUGGCAUGUGCCUCUAAUCCAAGCUACUCAGGAAGCAGAGAUGGGAGGAUCGCUUGAGCCCAGGAGGUUGAGGCUGCAGUGAGCUGAGAUCAUACCACUGCACUCAUUCUGGGCAACAGAGUGAAACCCUGUCUCAAAAAUAUAAAUAAAUAAAUAAAUAAAUAAAUAAAUAAAGAAAGAAAGAAAGAAAGAAAGAAUUUACAAGAGGGGAGUUUUAGUGGUUGAAAAAUCAUUCACUCAUUCCAGGAGCAAGAGCCUUGUGGGUUUUCUUCCUGUUCUUGCCUGGGUUAUCUCUACUGAACCAAAGAAUCCUUGUUAGGAAUGCUCUGGUGGUGUCAAUCAAUGCGUUUAUAAAUCAUUUGCUUUUACCAUGGAAAAAGAUAUCACAAAACAACACAGCUGUAGUGCAGGUGCAGAUGACCAUGGAACGGCAGCCUGGCGUUUUCAGUAGAGCACUGGGCAGCAGAGUCCCUGGGCCUCGGAACCCCGGCCUGUUACCACCCAACACCAUCCCUGGGCAAAAUGCGAAACUCCCAUCAGAUCCAUGAAUGGAAAAUGGGCGUAAUUAUAAUUGCACCCCACUCUCUACCUCUCAGCUAAGGUGAGAAAUGAAUAUGAGGAUGCUCAGUGAAAAUGCUUUGAAGUCUGUGAAAUGCGAAGCAAAUGUGAAGCGAGAGGAAUAAUAAGGUUCUAAGGACCCACACUUGGGCGUUUGCUCUGAGCUGGCCCCUGUCCUCCACACUGAACCUACAGCCUCUCCUCUCACCUAAUCUGCACAAAAAUCUUACGAAGCAGACACACUUACCAUGCUGGCCUUUCCGUGAAAUUUCAGGUCUUAGUGUCGCCCAUUACUGGUGGCAUUUCAUGCCACAAGUUGGGCCAUCUGCACCUCCAAGCACAGGGUCACAGAAGACUUUAUCCCGUCCCUUGGGCUGACUGAAUGGUUGGUUUGUGUCAACCCCUGUUGUCCCUUUGAGCAACUCGGGGGCAAUGGUUAUGGGUAGGGCUUAAAAAACCGUCUGGCUGCAAACCCAGUGCUGAUACGAACAAGGCCUAGUCAGGCACUAAGUGUUUUGUGUUCCCCAAAGAGAUCUUAAUGAAAUCCCAGCAUGCCACUCACUCCUACACUUAAAAUACCUUUUAAGUGUAGGAAAGAAAGUGCUUUCAACCCCACCCCAGCCAUUUGGAUUCGGAGACUCCAUUUAAGAUGCACAGCUUUCCUCCAGCACAGGGGCUGGGUAUCCAAACGCAGAGCCUCCCCCAGACUCUCUCUAGGCUUAGCCUGGCUUGGUGGGCUCAGGAGGGAUUCAAGAUUAUUUCAUCCUUUAUGUCCAUUCGAUGACAGUUUAUCAUCAUUGCCACCUCAUACUCUAUUGUAGCCAAACAUCAUAACCAGCACCAUGUGAACUACGUCACUGACGCCACAUUCUUUUUCUCGGCUGUCACUAGGCUCAGGUCAGGACAGCCCUCCCGGCUGACUUCCGCGAUACUUUCUGUAUCUCCUUUUCAGUCUGCCCUAAAAUGACAGCUGGACUUCCGACAGUGGUUUCUUAUGUGGGACACAUGGCUCUUAUACUCUGGGUGGCACGGAUUCCUUUAUUGCCAGUGGCUUAAUUUUCCCAGAUCUAUUUCCAUGCAGACAGUGUGAGGUUGGACUUCAUGCCUCAUGCUCCUGAUUGGGGCUCGGAAGUCUAACCCAGCUUCCUGCAGUGCCGCCCCCAGCUUAUUCAAUGCCCAACCUGCAGGUCCUAAGUUGAACCCGCACACUGCACGCUCACCUGGUCUGUGCUGCCAGCUGCAUUGGAAAUGGAAGCAUUAAACACCGUUCUCCACUGUCAGCCACCUGCUAGCUAAUGAGUGACAUCAUUUAACACUGUUUUGAAAAGAGAGAUUUAAAGUUGUUUUGAAAACUGAAGGAAAAAUACAAAUGUUUGAGUGUUAAACAUUUUGCCCAAAUACUAAAAUGUGAAUGUCUUUUUAUUGUGACAGUUCACAGGAAAGCGGGCUAUAGCAUGCCUGUGCUUGUCAAUGAAAAUCUUAGCACUGAGUUUGGUAAACAUUCUGGCAGUCGGGAAGCCACUUAAAAAUAAAGUUUAAAGAAAAGAAAGAGAAGUGUUCACUUUCCUUCUAAUUUUCCCAGAUACGCUCAAUAUUCUGCUUUAUUUUUUAGUAUUUUAACUAAAAUAAGAAAACUCGGAUUCUACCUCUAUGUGUCCUAUGAUUGUUGUUGUUUUCUCUGAUUAUAAAAUACAGGUUUGCAGCAGAAAACUUGGCAAAACAGAGAUAUGAAGAAUAAAAUAAAAAUCACCUGUAGUUCUAAGCCAUGAGAAUAAUCAUAUAUAUAUUCCCUAGGUAUUCUGAAGCAUAUGUAUUACAGUCCAAAUAUUUAAAAACAAAAUUUGGGUAAUACUUUAGAUAGAGAGUUGUAUUCUGAUUUUUUCUAUUAAUAUUAUAACUUUGAAACGAGGGACUUCACCAUUGCUUUUAUUUUUCUUUGCUAUGUAAGUACUUAUGUUCUUUAUGAGGAAAAUAAAAACUAUAGAAAAGAAAGAUAAGAAAAUAAAAUCAGUAAUAAUCCCCUCACUUACAAAUGACUGCUGUUAACAUUUUAGUUUUUUGGUUUCUAUCUAUUUAUGUGAAAUUUGAAUGAAAAUAGUAUAAUUUCGCUGUCUCUAUAUUGCUUGGUAACAUAAUGAUUUAACUGUAUAAUAAAUAGUAUAUUACAUGAAUAUUUUGAGUAAUAGUCUGUGUGAUAAUUUUUAUUCGGUGUGUGGUGUUCCACUACAUAAAUGUAUUAUAGUUUAUUUCACAAAUAAACUCUUAUCAGAA